Molecule: transfer RNA, 60 nt
Filed under: Pseudoalteromonas byunsanensis
Lineage: Bacteria; Pseudomonadati; Pseudomonadota; Gammaproteobacteria; Alteromonadales; Pseudoalteromonadaceae
Description: tRNA-Pro
Rfam family: tRNA
About the family: Transfer RNA (tRNA) molecules are approximately 80 nucleotides in length.
Source: RNAcentral
GGCGAUUAGCGCAGUUUGGUAGCGCACUUGGUUUGGGUCCAAGGGGUCGCAGGUUCAAAU